Molecule: long non-coding RNA, 7613 nt
Filed under: Triticum aestivum (bread wheat)
Lineage: Eukaryota; Viridiplantae; Streptophyta; Magnoliopsida; Poales; Poaceae
Description: long non-coding RNA (TAES_LNC016799)
Source: RNAcentral
CAAGGCGUGCUAGGCUGGUCCCACCUGAGCCGAACUAGGUUAGUUAGAGAUAGAGUUAGGCAAUAUUCUUGUAACCUCUUUCAUCUCUAUCUUCUCUCUUUGACUUGGUUCGCAAGAUGUAAUCGUGCCUACCUGUAUGCUUAUCUCAGGGAUACGCCCCUGCCUAUAUAACACGAAACCGUCGCCUCCAACGAGGUACGACGUUCAUCGCAUCUUUACAUGGUAUACAGAGCCUCCUCUAUCCACUACAUCAAGAAAACAACCCAUCCCGGUCGCCAGCCAUGUCGUCCUCCUCAAGCAUCGGCCAGUCCUCCCUUCCUGGGCAGGUCACGGAGAAGCUCACCCGCACCAACUACGUGUUGUGGCGUGCGCAGGUGACACCGCAGCUGAGGGGAGCUAGUUUCUUCGGCUACGUCAACCAGACCAUGCCGGAACCUGCCAAGUUCCUCACCACGAAGGACAAGGACGGGAAAGAUGAACAGACGCCGAAUCCUCUUCAUGCGAUCUGGUUCAAGGAAGGACAGCAGGUACUUGGUUACUUGCUAAACAAUCUCACCAAGGAAGUCCUCGUGCAGGUCACAUCCAUAGCUACGCCGCAUGAACUCUGGGCUGCCCUUGCGCAUAUGUUCUCGUCGCAGUCCAGAGCACGCAUCAACAACAUCCGCGCCACACUCUCCACGGCGCAGAAGGGCACGCAAACGGUGGCGGCGUACUUCGCUCACAUGCGAUCUCUCGCAGAUGAGCUUGCAGCCGCGGUAAAACCGAUCGACGACGAUGAACUGGCUUCCUACAUCACCGCCGGCCUCGACAUGGAGUACCAGCCUCUCAUCUCCGCCAACGACGCCCGCACCACGCCCAUCAGCCUCGACGAUCUUUUUGCUCAGAUGAGCAGUUUUGACCAGCGCCUUGCCCUCUACAACGGGGCAGGUUGUGGUGGAGGCUUCAAGUCUUCUGCCAAUGCGGCUGUCUGUGGCCGUGGAGGUGGCGGCUCUCGCUACCAUGGGCGCAACAAGGGCAAGCCAUCGGGCGGAGGCAACAGCAGCAGCGGCAACUCCUUCAACAACGGCGGCGGAGGCGGACGGCCCUUCUACAACAGCAACAGGGGUCGCCGCAACUCCUCUGGCAAGCCUCGCGCGGGCCCCGACGUCACGCGCUGCCAGAUUUGUGGCAAGCCAGGCCACACGGCAAAGGAUUGCUGGUACCGUUUUGAGGAAGAUGAGGAAUCUUCCCAAGAUGAGAAGGUUGCAGCAGCGGCAGAUGGCUCCUACGGAGUCGAUACCAAUUGGUAUGUGGACAGCGGCGCGACAAACCACAUUACAGGCGAGCUGGAAAAGGUGACUGUGCGUGAGAAGUACCGUGGACAGGACCAAGUUCACGCUGCAAAUGGAGAAGGUAUGAGAAUUAGUCAUAUUGGUAAUUCAGUAUUUAAAACUCCCCACAGAAAAAUCCAUCUCAGAAAAAUUUUGCAUAUCCCUAGUGCCUCGAAAAAUCUCCUUUCCGUCCAUCGCAUUGCCCUUGACAACAAUGUCUUUCUUGAAUUUCACCCGUUUUUCUUUUUGAUCAAGGAUCAGGUCACGAAGAAAAUCCUAUAUCGAGGUAGAUGCGUUCGAGGACUUUAUCCGUUGAUUCCGGAGCUUAGGAGACUGAAUAAACAAGCCUUACCCUGUGUCUACGAGUGUUUCUACCAAACCUCUCCAACUCAUUUUUUCUGAUGUUUGGGGGCCUGCCCCUACCUCGGUCGGAAGACACUCUUAUUAUGUUAGCUUUAUCGAUGACUAUAGCAAGUACACAUGGAUCUAUCUUCUUAAGAAACGAUCUGAUGUGUUUCAAGUGUUUCACAAUUUUCAAGCACUUGUAGAAAGAAAAUUUGAUUGCAAAAUUCUUGCUCUCCAAUCUGAUUGGGGAGGAGAAUACAGAAAUCUAAACUCAUUCUUCCAACAAAUUGGCAUAUCUUACCAUGUGUCUUGUCCUCAUGCUCAUCAGCAGAAUGGUUCUGCUGAACGUAAGCAUAGGCACAUCAUUGAAGUGGGUCUUGCCUUGCUUGCUGCUGCAUCCAUGCCACUAAAGUUCUGGGAUGAAGCGUUUCUUACCGCCGUCUAUCUUAUUAACAUAUUGCCUAGUCGGGUCAUCAACAAUGAAACUCCGGUAGAACGCUUGCUUCACACAAAACCUGACUAUACUUCCCUAAGAGUAUUCGGGUGUGCUUGUUGGCCUAAUCUUCGUCCAUACAAUAAUCGCAAGCUCAUGUUUAGAUCAAAACAAUGUGUGUUUCUGGGUUACAGUCCACAACACAAAGGUGUAAAAUUCCUGGAUGUGUCCACCGGACGUGUAUACAUCUCCCGUGACGCUGUGUUUGAUGAAACUGUUUUUCCCUUUGCACAUCUACAUCCAAAUGCUGGUGCGCUUCUUCAAAAAGAAAUCCUUCUUUUACCAUCUCACCUCACCGGCGUUGCCCAAGGAGACGAAUUAAAUACUGAUGAUCCAUUAUUGACUAAUCCUCUUACUAAUGGUGCACAUGAGUAUUGUGAUGAUACAGAAAAAAACAGUGCAGAAAACGCUGAAGAAAUUGAUCAAAUUCAGCAUUUUAUGUGUCCUGGACAUAGCAGCAGCAGUACGGAGGCGAAUCAGCCUUGGGAUCGCGGCGUGUCAGCUUCGGGAUCUGCUCCCUGCGGGUCUGUCCCGCAAUCUCUAGCGGGAUCCGCGCCAGGUGCAGCAGCGCGAUCCGCUCCGGGACUUGCGCCGCGUCACGACACCAACAGCGGCUCGGUGGAUGGCGGCUCGGUGCGCUCCUCCGCUCCGCACCAAUCGUCGCCUGCCGCGUGGCCUGGGCGAUUCGGCGUCGACCCGCGCUGCUACGUGCGGCGCGCAUCAGGACACGGCACGGAAACCCGUCCGGAUCCGGCUGGGGCCACAUCAUCAUCGGCUCAUGAUGAGCCUGCGGCGGAUGGUGGGGCUGGUGCGGGAUCCUCUGCGCCGGUUCCCUCGCGUUCAUCGCCUGCUGCAGCCACAGAAGAUCACACCGCGUCGCCCCAGCCCGACAGCCUACCAUCGGGAUCCACGGCCGAUCCUGCUAGGAGAUCUCCUGUGCAGCCAGCGGGAUCUUCUGCGCCAACUUCUUCACCGCUACGGACAAGGCUUCAAAGGGGAGUAACUCAACCCAAAAAUUAUAAAAGCAUAGUAAAAUUUGGUCUUUCUUGUACUACAGAUGAACCAGCUACUGUUACUGAAGCCUUGAGUGAUGCACGGUGGAAGAAGGCUAUGCAAAAGGAGUACAUGGCGCUUCAGAAAAAUAAAACCUGGCAUCUAGUUCCUGCAUGUCAAGGUAAAAACGUUAUUGAUUGCAAGUGGGUCUACAGAAUUAAGAGAAAAUCUGAUGGAACCAUAGAUCGCUAUAAAGCUAGACUCGUUGCAAAAGGCUUCAAGCAAUGGUAUGGCAUAGACUAUGAAGACACUUUUAGUCCUGUUGUGAAGGCUGCUACUAUUCGUCUUGUCUUGUCUAUUGCUGUAUCCAGGGGAUGGAGUCUACGUCAACUUGAUGUACAGAAUGCGUUUCUUCAUGGCGUUCUGGAAGAGGAAGUGUUCAUGCGACAACCUCCUGGGUUUGAGGAUAAAAACAAACCGCUUCAUGUGUGCAAGCUUGAUAAGGCUUUGUAUGGACUCAAGCAAGCUCCUAGGGCUUGGUAUUCCAGAUUGAGCUCAAAACUUCAAACACUUGGGUUUACUCCUGAAAGAUCGUGGAUGUCGCCUAGAGGGGGGGUGAAUAGGCGUUUUAAAAUAAUUACGGUUUAGGCUUCAACAAAUGCGGAAUAAACCUAGCGGUUAAUUUGUCAAGCACAAAACCUAAAACAACUAGGCUCACCUAUGUGCACCAACAACUUAUGCUAAGCAAUAUAAGCAACUAUGUGAUAGCAAGAUAUAUGACAAAGAACAAUAUGGCUAUCACAAAGUAAAGUGCAUAAGUAAAGGGCUCGAGUAAGAGAUAACCGAGGCACGCGGAGACGAUGAUGUAUCCCGAAGUUCACACCCUUGCGGACGCUAAUCUCCGUUUGGAGCGGUGUGGAGGCACAAUGCUCCCCAAGAAGCCACUAGGGCCACCGUAAUCUCCUCACGCCCUCGCACAAUGCAAGAUGCCGUGAUUCCACUAAGGGACCCUUGAGGGCGGUCACCGAACCCGUACAAAUGGCGACCCUUGGGGGCGGUCACCGAACCCAUACACUUUGGCAACCCUUGGGGGCGGUCACCGGUACCCGUCAAAAUGCUCGGGGCGAUCUCGACAACCUAAUUGGAGACCCCGACGCUUGCCCGGAGCUUUACACCAUAAUGAUUGAGCUCCGAACACCACCAACCGACUAGGGGGCCCAAGCACCCAAGAUAAACAAGCUCAAGGGCACCAAGCACCCAAGAGUAAUAAGCUUCUCAACUUGUAACUUCCACGUACCAUGUGGAGAACUCAAACCGAUGCACCAAAUGCAAUGGCAAGGGCACACGGAGUGCCCAAGUCCUUCUCUCCCAAAUCCCACCAAAGCAACUAAUGCUAGGGAGGAAAAUGAGAGGAAGAACGAAGGAAGAACACGAAGAACUCCAAGAUCCAGAUCCAAGGGGUUCCCCUCACUUAGAGGAGAAAGUGAUUGGUGGAAAUGUGGAUCUAGAUCUCCUCUCUCUUUUCCCUCAAAAACUAGCAAGAAUCCAUGGAGGGAUUGAGAGUUAGCAAGCUCGGAGAAGGUCAACAAUGGGGGAAGAACACGAGCUGAAAGGGAUAAGGUUCAUUGGGGAAGAAGACCCCCUUUUAUAGGAGGGGGGAAAUCCAACCGUUACCCCACUGUACAUCCCCACACAGAGCGGUACUACCGCUGAGAGCGGUACUACCGCUCCCACCCAGCGGUACUACCGCGCUGGCGAGGAGGACAGGGCCCUGGGCCCAGAGCGGUACUACCGUGGGAGUAAGAGCGGUACUACCGCUUGGAGCAGUACUACCGCCACUACUACCACUCCUAGUACCGCAAAACCCGACACGAAAAACAUCGUACUCGAAUCGAGGCGGCAGUAGCCCGGAAGCACUGCGGUACUACGGCCGAAGAUCCCAAGCGGUACUACCGUUCGGAGAGCGGUACUACCGCUUGGAGCGGUACUACCGCUCUGAUAGCGGUACUACCGCUGGGGAGCUUCGGCGGUACUACCGCUGUGGGUCGCGGUACUACCGCUGGGGCAGAGCCAAGCAAACUAAGGGGAAAACGGCAGCUCCAAGGAAAACCAGAACUGCCAGUACUUCUUCAUAUGAGCUCCGAAUUGAGCAAACUCAAGCUUGUUGGAUAGAGCAAGACGAGUAGCAUCAAAACAGCGACUGGUUAUAGUAAGAAGAGGCAGGGGAGGUAUGCUUAGCAAACAAAGGAGUGAAACCUCCAACCGAGAAGAACCGGCAUACCCUCCAACAUCGAAAACAUCAUAGAAGAUGCAUGUGAACUCCGUUUUCGAUGAACUCGAGCUUGUCAUAAAAAUGACCAAAAGCUCCAACACUCACAAGGAGAAGAACCAAACAAGAACCAAUAAAUAUGAUGCAAGGAUGCAAUGGUUUGAGCUCUCUACGAACGAUACGAUCAAGCAACUCAUCGAGAGCCCCCCUUGAUAGUACGACAAUCGAUCCUAUAACUCGGUCUCCCACAACUACCAUGAGACCGGUAAAAUAGAAUACCUAUCAAGGGCAAACCUUUGCCUUGCACAAAGUCCACUUGAGCUAGAUGAUGAUGAUCUACUCCUCCUCAAGAUGGACCACCUUUCUUGAUUGCGUUGGCUCGAUGAAGACUAGUUGAUUGCUCCCCCAUACUCCACUAUGGGUGAGCCACUCUUCCGCUCAUCUUCACAAGUCCAUUGUCACCAUAAUGGACGGCAAGCUUCAAGCACUUGAUCUCUUCGUGAUACAUCACUUGAACUUGCACACCGCAACCUAACCCCACAAAGAACUCUCACGAAGACCAUGGGUUAGCACACAAAGCGUAAUGGACAAUGCUUACCAUACCAUGGGACUUGAUCCCUCGGUACAUCUUGUGCGCUUUGUGUGUUGACUCUUUUCAACUCUCUUCAUUUGGAUGAUGUCUUGAAGGUGGACAUGAAUGAUCACACAAUCUUAUUCUUCAAGACAUGCUUGCAAUAAGAUCAACACUCACAUGACCGAUCUUUGGAUAAUUCCUUAAUAGCACCGUGGUCAUCACAAACUCUCCUUGAAACCAACAAAUGGACUCCAAGAAAAGCCUAUGGACAAACCCUUCAAAUGUAACUCAAGGAAACCAUUAGUCCAUAGAGAUUGUCAUCAAUUACCAAAACCAAACAUGGGGGCACCGCAUGUUCUUUCAACUCCUUCUAGAUCUGACACCUCACUGUUUAUCUAUAAUAAGUCAAAUACCUCCAUAUUUGUCCUAAUAUAUGUUGAUGAUAUUAUCGUCACAAGUUCAUCAAAUGAGGCUGUUACAGGACUGCUAAAGGAUUUAAACUCUGAGUUUGCUCUUAAGGAUCUAGGAGACUUGCACUAUUUUCUUGGGAUUGAAGUUAAGAAGAAUGGAGAUAGUCUUCACUUAUCUCAAGAGAAGUAUGCAACUGAUCUUGUAGCCAGAGCAAGAUUCAAGGUUGUAAGCCAGCUCCAACACCUUUAUCCAGUACCGAAAAAUUAUCCUUGUCAGAAGGAGAUCUCUUGAAUCAAGAGGAUAGCACCAGGUACAGAAGUAUGGUUGGUGCACUACAGUACUUAACUCUGACUAGACCUGAUAUCUCUUUUGCUGUCAAUAAAGUAUGCCAAUUUCUUCAUGCACCCACUACAGUACAUUUGACAGCUGCAAAACGCAUACUUAGAUAUGUUAAAGAUACCUUGAGCCUUGGAUUAACAUUCAGCAAGUCAUCAUCAACUCUUGUCAGUGCAUUCUCUGAUUCUGACUGGGCAGGUUGUCUGGAUGAUAGGCGCUCAACAGGUGGUUUUGCAGUCUUCUUUGGUCCUAACCUAAUCUCUUGGUGUGCAAAGAAACAAGCUACUGUAUCCAGGUCUAGUACAGAAGCAGAAUAUAAAGCAUUAGCUAAUGCCACGGCAGAAAUCAUUUGGGUUCAGUCCUUGUUGAGAGAGCUUGGCAUACGUUGCAAACAAGCUCUGUGUUUAUGGUGUGACAAUCUUGGUGCCACAUAUCUUUCUGCUAAUCCUAUCUUUCAUGCAAGGACCAAACACAUCGAAAUCGAUUUCCACUUUGUCAGAGAAAGAGUUGCUGCCAAGAAGUUGGAUAUUCGGUUCAUUCACUCUCAAGAUCAAGUUGCAGAUGGUUUUACCAAAGCCUUACCUACAAGAAAUUUCGAAGAAUUCAAACGUAAUCUCAACUUGACUAAGUUGUGAUUAUGGGAGGGUGUUAAACGUGAUAUGCAAGGCGUGCUAGGCUGGUCCCACCUGAGCCGAACUAGGUUAGUUAGAGAUAGAGUUAGGCAAUAUUCUUGUAAUCUCUUUCAUCUCUAUCUUCUCUCUUUGACUUGGUUCGCAAGAUGUAAUCGUACCUACCUGUAUGCUUAUCUCAGGGAUACGACCCUGCCUAUAUAACACGAAACCGUCGCCUCCAACGAGGUACGACGUUCAUCGCAUCUUUACA